AAAGCUGCGAAGAGUCCCAACUGGAGAUGCAGGUGGCAGCGGAGAUGGCGAGAAUAGGAGAGUCCGACCGGAGAUGCAGGUGGCAGCGGAGAUGGCGAGAAUAGGAGAGUCCGACCGGAGAUGCAGGUGGCAGCGGAGAUGGCAAGAGUAAGAGAGUCCCAACUGGAGAUGCAGGUGGCAGCGGAGAUGGCGAGAGUAAGAGAGUCCCGACCGGAGACGCAGGUGGCAGCGGAGAUGGCGAGAAUAGGAGAGUCCGACCGGAGAUGCAGGUGGCAGUGGAGAUGGCGAGAGUAAGAGAGUCCCGACCGGAGAUGCAGGUGGCAGUGGAGAUGGCGCGAGUAAGGGAGUCUGACUGGAGAUGCAGGUGGCAGCGGAGAUGGCCGGAAUAGAGCACUCGUUUGGAGGAAAAGCGGACAGGUCGACAGGAUGGAUGUGAUGGGGGCCCCGAAGGAGAGGAUGCUGUAGAGACUGACAUGGCACCUCUGGUGAUCCCGUCGCUCAGGAAAUGCUCGUUGUUUUCCAGCUGUGUUGCUCAGAAGCUCUUGGGACAGUUUUUGGUGCAUUAUGAGCACUCAGAGAUGUGGUGCUAUUGCU
Molecule: long non-coding RNA, 594 nt
Filed under: Homo sapiens (human)
Lineage: Eukaryota; Metazoa; Chordata; Mammalia; Primates; Hominidae
Description: non-protein coding lnc-TSPAN4-2:2
Source: RNAcentral